UUAUUGGGCCUAAGCAUCCGUAGCCGGUUCUGCAAGUCCUCCGUUAAAUCCACCUGCUUAACAGAUGGGCUGCGGAGGAUACUACAGAGCUAGGAGGCGGGAGAGGCAANCGGUACUCAGUGGGUAGGGGUAAAAUCCUUUGAUCCAUUGAAGACCACCAGUGGCGAAGGCGGCUUGCCAGAACGCGCUCGACGGUGAGGGAUGAAAGCUGGGGGAGCAAACCGGAUUAGAUACCCCCGUAG
Molecule: ribosomal RNA, 242 nt
Filed under: uncultured crenarchaeote
Lineage: Archaea; Thermoproteati; Thermoproteota
Description: partial 16S ribosomal RNA
Rfam family: Archaeal small subunit ribosomal RNA
Source: RNAcentral